Acinonyx jubatus (cheetah) is the source of this 1349-nucleotide long non-coding RNA. RefSeq lists it as uncharacterized. Lineage: Eukaryota; Metazoa; Chordata; Mammalia; Carnivora; Felidae. The transcript has 3 exons. The record is from RefSeq and is a predicted model, not a curated record.
AAACAGGCUUCCUUUCUCCCCAGCCUCAUCGCCCACCCCGCUGGCUGUGGGGUCAGGAGGAACGCGAUUCCUCAGCAGAUCCAAGAGGUGGCAUUUUCUCCCCCAAACUUUUCUUUUGGCACAGCCUGAGAGUGAAGGAAAAGGUUUUGGUUCCUUGUGACAACUCGGAGAUUGUGAGGGCUGAGCUGUCCUCUGGUGGCACUCAGCCCCAUGCCCAGCGGGCAUGUAAUGCACACUCAACGGUGGAGAUAACUGAGUGGGAGGUGACAGUCGUGUCAGAGGCUGUGAGAAGCCGUGGCUGCUCACCACCGAGAUGGAGCUAAUUAUACCGGUACCCGGGGCUGACCGUGGGCGCUGAGCAGAGGCAGAGGGGUACAGCUCUGCUGUAGGAUCAGUAGGGACCCGUGGGAGGUGGCAUUUGUCACCGUACCUGCGGAUCAGAGCAAGGCCGGGCACCCAGCCAAGACCUCGCUGGGCUAUCUCCCUUUAUACAACCCUGAUGUAAGGUAUUAUGCCGCUCCCUUCCUUUCAGAUGCGAAAACUGAGGUUGCCAGAGGGCCAGAGAUCAUACAGCUAGGGAAGCUAGUGAUCGGACAAGCAAGACGCCAGACUGUGCUGGUUUGAUUCUAAAGCUUAUGGUUUAACCAUCUUGUCUCACAGAUCCUUGCAACAAUCCUGAGAAGCAGGUAUUUUGAUGUCCGUUUCACAGAUGCGCAGCAGAGACUAAAUAAUGAAAUCGAUACUACUCAGAAAGCAUGAGAUUAGUGACAACCGUUUAUAUGGCACCUGACAAUCUGCAAAGCAGUUUUACAUAAGUUGUUUCCUUCGAUUGCAGAAACAGCUUGGAACUGAAGAGGCGGAUAUAAGGUUGGCAUGGUUAAGGAUUUGCCCAAGGUCAACACGGGAACCGGAAGCCGGAUCCAGCUUUCCUCACUCCGAAUCCCGUCCUCUGUCUACCACGCUGCACUGUCAGAUUCCAUUACUUGACCUUGUGAUGAUGAUAAGUCCAUGGUGAGAGUCCACGAGGGUUCAAGGUACUCAACGUCACUACUUUUGUGUUGUCUGACCUCUGCCUUAGUCGUAAGUUGCCUGAGCAGGAAUGGUGACUGCCUUGUUCCUAGCUGGAUCCCCAGCACCUGGAACUUAUGUGGCACACAAUCCGUGGCCCAUAUUUUCUUUAUUGCAGCACUGAAUAAACAAAGAAAAACAAACCAUGGGUAAAUGGAGGGUCUCUACGAAUGUGACUCCUGUUAUAUACAGUCCCUGCAACUAUACUGGAACGAUUUCUGACAUGGUGGCUCAUAAAUGUCAAAACCUAUGUUUAUCUGCUUAAAGAAAGAGAGCCAGUA